Molecule: ribosomal RNA, 253 nt
Filed under: uncultured bacterium
Lineage: Bacteria
Description: partial 16S ribosomal RNA
Rfam family: Bacterial small subunit ribosomal RNA
Source: RNAcentral
UACAGAGACUGCAAGCGUUAUUCGGAUUCACUGGGCGUAAAGGGUGCGCAGGCGGCCGUGUGUGUGAGGCGUGAAAGCCCGGAGCUCAACUCCGGAAUUGCACCUCAAACUACACGGCUAGAGCAUUGGAGAGGGUAGCGGAAUUCACGGUGUAGCAGUGAAAUGCGUAGAUAUCGUGAGGAACACCAGAGGCGAAGGCGGCUACCUGGACAAUUGCUGACGCUCAGGCACGAAAGCGUGGGGAACAAAAGGG